AAUAAACGCUAGGGGAGCCUCACGGCUGAGAAUAUAUCGCGGUAUCAUGAUAUUAACCCUCAUUACUUGAUUCGGGUCAUUCCGACGUAGGGAAGCAGAUUUCUUUCUAC
This 110-nucleotide non-coding RNA is filed under the name Parasporobacterium paucivorans. RNAcentral's name for it is "TPP sequence". It matches the Rfam family "TPP riboswitch aptamer (THI element)". From Rfam's summary of the family: Vitamin B(1) in its active form thiamin pyrophosphate (TPP) is an essential coenzyme that is synthesised by coupling of pyrimidine and thiazole moieties in bacteria. RNAcentral also lists the same sequence under 1 other name. The record is from RNAcentral. Lineage: Bacteria; Bacillati; Bacillota; Clostridia; Lachnospirales; Lachnospiraceae.